CCUACGGGAGGCAGCAGUAAGGAAUCUUCCGCAAUGGGCGAAAGCCUGACGGAGCAACGCCGCGUGGGCGAUGAAGGCCUUCGGGUCGUAAAGCCCUUUUCUGUGGGACGAUAAUGACGGUACCACAGGAAUAAGCCACGGCUAACUACGUGCCAGCAGCCGCGGUAAUACGUAGGUGGCUAGCGUUAUCCGGAUUCACUGGGCGUAAAGAGCGCGUAGGCGGUGUGCUAAGUUGGACGUGAAAGCCCACGGCCCAACCGUGGAAGUGCAUCUGAAACUGGUAAGCUAGAGUGUGAGAGAGGGAUGCGGAAUUCCCGGUGUAGGGGUAAAAUGCGUAGAUAUCGGGAGGAACACCAGUGGCGAAGGCGGCAUCCUGGCUCAUAACUGACGCUGAGUCGCGAAAGCGUGGGGAUCAAAC
This 418-nucleotide ribosomal RNA is filed under the name uncultured bacterium. RNAcentral describes it as "partial 16S ribosomal RNA". It matches the Rfam family "Bacterial small subunit ribosomal RNA", at positions 338 to 773 of the family's 1533-position model. The record is from RNAcentral.